Molecule: ribosomal RNA, 637 nt
Filed under: fungal sp.
Lineage: Eukaryota; Fungi
Description: eukaryotic LSU rRNA
Rfam family: 5.8S ribosomal RNA (bases 190-343)
Source: RNAcentral
CAUUACUGAGUGCGGGCCCCUCGCGGGUCCAACCUCCCACCCGUGUCUCUUGAAUACCCUGUUGCUUUGGCGGGCCCACCGGGCCACCCCCGGUCGCCGGGGGGCACCGCGCCCCCGGGCCCGCGCCCGCCAGAGCGCCUCUGAACCCUAAUGAAGAAGGACUGUCUGAGUCUACGAUAUAAUUAUCAAAACUUUCAACAAUGGAUCUCUUGGUUCCGGCAUCGAUGAAGAACGCAGCGAAAUGCGAUAAGUAAUGUGAAUUGCAGAAUUCCGUGAAUCAUCGAAUCUUUGAACGCACAUUGCGCCCCCUGGCAUUCCGGGGGGCAUGCCUGUCCGAGCGUCAUUUCUGCCCUCAAGCCCGGCUUGUGGUGUGGGCGUGGUCCCCCCGGUGUCGGGGGGACCUGCCCCAAAGGCAGCGGCGACGUUCCGCCUAGGUCCUCGAGCGUAUGGGGCUUUGUCACCCGCUCGGGAGGGGCCUACGGGCGUUGGCCAUCCACCAAUUUUUUACGGUUGACCUCGGAUCAGGUAGGAGUUACCCGCUGAACUUAAGCAUAUCAAUAAGCGGAGGAAAAGAAACCAACCGGGAUUGCCUCAGUAACGGCGAGUGAAGCGGCAAGAGCUCAAAUUUGAAAUCUGG